ACGGGAGGUAGCAGUGAGGAAUAUUGGACAAUGGUCGGAAGACUGAUCCAGCCAUGCCGCGUGAAGGAAUAAUGUCCGAUGGAUUGUAAACUUCUUUUGUACGGGAGCAACAAGGUGUAUGCAUACACCGAUGAGAGUACCGUACGAAUAAGCAUCGGCUAACUCCGUGCCAGCAGCCGCGGUAAUACGGAGGAGGCGAGCGUUAUCCGGAUUUAUUGGGUUUAAAGGGUGCGUAGGCGGAAUGACAAGUCCGCGGUGAAACGCAAGGGCUCAACCCUUGACCUGCCGUUGAAACUGCCAAUCUGGAAUACGGAUGCUGUGGGAGGAAUGUGUGGUGUAGCGGUGAAAUGCAUAGAUAUCACACAGAACACCGAUUGCGAAGGCAUCUCACAAAUCCGUCAUUGACGCUGAGGCACGAAAGCGUGGGGAUCAAACAGGAUUAGAUACCCUGGUA
This 454-nucleotide ribosomal RNA is filed under the name uncultured Porphyromonadaceae bacterium. Its description in RNAcentral is "partial 16S ribosomal RNA". It matches the Rfam family "Bacterial small subunit ribosomal RNA", at positions 341 to 792 of the family's 1533-position model. Lineage: Bacteria; Pseudomonadati; Bacteroidota; Bacteroidia; Bacteroidales; Porphyromonadaceae. The record is from RNAcentral.